Molecule: ribosomal RNA, 484 nt
Filed under: uncultured bacterium
Lineage: Bacteria
Description: bacterial SSU rRNA
Rfam family: Bacterial small subunit ribosomal RNA
Source: RNAcentral
AUGAACGCUGGCGGCGUGCUUAACACAUGCAAGUCGAACGGAGAGCGUAUGACAGAGGAUUCGUCCAAUGGAAUACGUUUCUUAGUGGCGGACGGGUGAGUAACGCGUGAGGAACCUGCCUCGGAGUGGGGAAUAACACAACGAAAGCUGUGCUAAUACCGCAUGAUGCAGCUGGGUCGCAUGACUCUGGCUGCCAAAGAUUUAUCGCUCUGAGAUGGCCUCGCGUCUGAUUAGCUGGUUGGCGGGGUAACGGCCCACCAAGGCGACGAUCAGUAGCCGGACUGAGAGGUUGGCCGGCCACAUUGGGACUGAGACACGGCCCAGACUCCUACGGGAGGCAGCAGUGGGGAAUAUUGGGCAAUGGGCGCAAGCCUGACCCAGCAACGCCGCGUGAAGGAAGAAGGCCCUCGGGUUGUAAACUUCUUUUGUCAGGGACGAAGCAAGUGACGGUACCUGACGAAUAAGCCACGGCUAACUACGUGCC